Molecule: ribosomal RNA, 488 nt
Filed under: uncultured bacterium
Lineage: Bacteria
Description: partial 16S ribosomal RNA
Rfam family: Bacterial small subunit ribosomal RNA
Source: RNAcentral
GACGAACGCUGGCGGCGUGCUUAACACAUGCAAGUCGAACGGAAAGGCCCUGCUUUUGUGGGGUGCUCGAGUGGCGAACGGGUGAGUAACACGUGAGUAACCUGCCCUUGACUUUGGGAUAACUUCAGGAAACUGGGGCUAAUACCGGAUAGGAGCUCCUGCUGCAUGGUGGGGGUUGGAAAGUUUCGGCGGGUGGGGAUGGAUGCGCGGCUGACGAGCUGGUUGGUGGGGUAAGGGCGCACCAAGGCUUGGACGGGUAGCCGGCCGGAGUGGGUGACCGGCCCAACUGGAGCUGAGACGCGGUCAGGACGCCGACGGGAGGCAGCAGUGGGGAAUAGUGGAGAAGGGGCGCGAGCCUGAUCCAGCCAUACCGCGUGGUAGAAGACGGCCUGCGGUGGGGAAAGCCGGUUUGUUGGGAAAGAAAAGCAGCAGGUUAAUACCCCGCUGGUCUGACGGUACCCAAAGAAUAAGCACCGGCUAACUUCGUG